This 65-nucleotide transfer RNA is filed under the name Dipodomys ordii (Ord's kangaroo rat). It matches the Rfam family "tRNA". From Rfam's summary of the family: Transfer RNA (tRNA) molecules are approximately 80 nucleotides in length. Their secondary structure includes four short double-helical elements and three loops (D, anti-codon, and T loops). Lineage: Eukaryota; Metazoa; Chordata; Mammalia; Rodentia; Heteromyidae. The record is from Rfam by way of RNAcentral.
GGUGGCUCAGUGGUAGAGUGCCUGCCUUGCAUGCAUGAGGUCCUAGGUUCGAUUCCUCAGCACCA